This 2181-nucleotide ribosomal RNA is filed under the name Escherichia coli. RNAcentral describes it as "partial 23S ribosomal RNA". It matches the Rfam family "Bacterial large subunit ribosomal RNA", at positions 1 to 2207 of the family's 2925-position model. Lineage: Bacteria; Pseudomonadati; Pseudomonadota; Gammaproteobacteria; Enterobacterales; Enterobacteriaceae. The record is from RNAcentral.
GGUUAAGCGACUAAGCGUACACGGUGGAUGCCCUGGCAGUCAGAGGCGAUGAAGGACGUGCUAAUCUGCGAUAAGCGUCGGUAAGGUGAUAUGAACCGUUAUAACCGGCGAUUUCCGAAUGGGGAAACCCAGUGUGAUUCGUCACACUAUCAUUAACUGAAUCCAUAGGUUAAUGAGGCGAACCGGGGGAACUGAAACAUCUAAGUACCCCGAGGAAAAGAAAUCAACCGAGAUUCCCCCAGUAGCGGCGAGCGAACGGGGAGCAGCCCAGAGCCUGAAUCAGUGUGUGUGUUAGUGGAAGCGUCUGGAAAGGCGCGCGAUACAGGGUGACAGCCCCGUACACAAAAAUGCACAUACUGUGAGCUCGAUGAGUAGGGCGGGACACGUGGUAUCCUGUCUGAAUAUGGGGGGACCAUCCUCCAAGGCUAAAUACUCCUGACUGACCGAUAGUGAACCAGUACCGUGAGGGAAAGGCGAAAAGAACCCCGGCGAGGGGAGUGAAAAAGAACCUGAAACCGUGUACGUACAAGCAGUGGGAGCACGCUUAGGCGUGUGACUGCGUACCUUUUGUAUAAUGGGUCAGCGACUUAUAUUCUGUAGCAAGGUUAACCGAAUAGGGGAGCCGAAGGGAAACCGAGUCUUAACUGGGCGUUAAGUUGCAGGGUAUAGACCCGAAACCCGGUGAUCUAGCCAUGGGCAGGUUGAAGGUUGGGUAACACUAACUGGAGGACCGAACCGACUAAUGUUGAAAAAUUAGCGGAUGACUUGUGGCUGGGGGUGAAAGGCCAAUCAAACCGGGAGAUAGCUGGUUCUCCCCGAAAGCUAUUUAGGUAGCGCCUCGUGAAUUCAUCUCCGGGGGUAGAGCACUGUUUCGGCAAGGGGGUCAUCCCGACUUACCAACCCGAUGCAAACUGCGAAUACCGGAGAAUGUUAUCACGGGAGACACACGGCGGGUGCUAACGUCCGUCGUGAAGAGGGAAACAACCCAGACCGCCAGCUAAGGUCCCAAAGUCAUGGUUAAGUGGGAAACGAUGUGGGAAGGCCCAGACAGCCAGGAUGUUGGCUUAGAAGCAGCCAUCAUUUAAAGAAAGCGUAAUAGCUCACUGGUCGAGUCGGCCUGCGCGGAAGAUGUAACGGGGCUAAACCAUGCACCGAAGCUGCGGCAGCGACGCUGAUGCGUUGUUGGGUAGGGGAGCGUUCUGUAAGCCUGUGAAGGUGUGCUGUGAGGCAUGCUGGAGGUAUCAGAAGUGCGAAUGCUGACAUAAGUAACGAUAAAGCGGGUGAAAAGCCCGCUCGCCGGAAGACCAAGGGUUCCUGUCCAACGUUAAUCGGGGCAGGGUGAGUCGACCCCUAAGGCGAGGCCGAAAGGCGUAGUCGAUGGGAAACAGGUUAAUAUUCCUGUACUUGGUGUUACUGCGAAGGGGGGACGGAGAAGGCUAUGUUGGCCGGGCGACGGUUGUCCCGGUUUAAGCGUGUAGGCUGGUUUUCCAGGCAAAUCCGGAAAAUCAAGGCUGAGGCGUGAUGACGAGGCACUACGGUGCUGAAGCAACAAAUGCCCUGCUUCCAGGAAAAGCCUCUAAGCAUCAGGUAACAUCAAAUCGUACCCCAAACCGACACAGGUGGUCAGGUAGAGAAUACCAAGGCGCUUGAGAGAACUCGGGUGAAGGAACUAGGCAAAAUGGUGCCGUAACUUCGGGAGAAGGCACGCUGAUAUGUAGGUGAAGCGACUUGCUCGUGGAGCUGAAAUCAGUCGAAGAUACCAGCUGGCUGCAACUGUUUAUUAAAAACACAGCACUGUGCAAACACGAAAGUGGACGUAUACGGUGUGACGCCUGCCCGGUGCCGGAAGGUUAAUUGAUGGGGUCAGCGCAAGCGAAGCUCUUGAUCGAAGCCCCGGUAAACGGCGGCCGUAACUAUAACGGUCCUAAGGUAGCGAAAUUCCUUGUCGGGUAAGUUCCGACCUGCACGAAUGGCGUAAUGAUGGCCAGGCUGUCUCCACCCGAGACUCAGUGAAAUUGAACUCGCUGUGAAGAUGCAGUGUACCCGCGGCAAGACGGAAAGACCCCGUGAACCUUUACUAUAGCUUGACACUGAACAUUGAGCCUUGAUGUGUAGGAUAGGUGGGAGGCUUUGAAGUGUGGACGCCAGUCUGCAUGGAGCCGGCCUUGAAAUACCACCCUU